RNAcentral lists this ribosomal RNA (253 nucleotides) under uncultured bacterium. RNAcentral describes it as "partial 16S ribosomal RNA". It matches the Rfam family "Bacterial small subunit ribosomal RNA", at positions 524 to 776 of the family's 1533-position model. The record is from RNAcentral.
UACGUAGGGUGCGAGCGUUGUCCGGAAUUACUGGGCGUAAAGAGCUCGUAGGUGGUUUGUCGCGUUGUCCGUGAAAACUCACAACUCAAUUGUGGGCGUGCGGGCGAUACGGGCAGACUGGAGUACUGCAGGGGAGACUGGAAUUCCUGGUGUAGCGGUGGAAUGCGUAGAUAUCAAGAGGAACACCUGAGGUGAAGACGGGUUGCUGGGCUGACACUGACGCUGAGGCGCGAAAGCCAGGGGAGCAAACGGG